This 253-nucleotide ribosomal RNA is filed under the name uncultured bacterium. RNAcentral describes it as "partial 16S ribosomal RNA". It matches the Rfam family "Bacterial small subunit ribosomal RNA", at positions 524 to 776 of the family's 1533-position model. The record is from RNAcentral.
UACAGAGGGUGCGAGCGUUAAUCGGAAUUACUGGGCGUAAAGCGCACGUAGGUGGCGACGUAAGUCGGGUGUGAAAGCCCCGGGCUCAACCUGGGAAUUGCAUUCGAGACUGCAUUGCUGGAGUACGGAAGAGGAAGGCGGAAUUCCCGGUGUAGUGGUGAAAUGCGUAGAUAUCGGGAGGAACACCAGUGGCGAAGGCGACUUCCUGGCCUGUUCUUGACGCUGAGGCGCGAAAGCUAGGGGAGCAAACGGG